Molecule: ribosomal RNA, 151 nt
Filed under: Bartholomea annulata
Lineage: Eukaryota; Metazoa; Cnidaria; Anthozoa; Actiniaria; Aiptasiidae
Description: partial 12S ribosomal RNA
Source: RNAcentral
GUGUUAAACUAAAAGGGACCCAAUCCAGGCGUUUGCCUGAAGGAAGUCAGGUCUUAUGAUCCGAAUGUUGGGGGAUUUGUGCGCUACAUUUUCUUAUAUAAUGAGAAACUUGAAAGGUAGGCCUCUAAAGUAAGAGUUCGGAAGGUCGCUG